CCUGUCGGUGUAACUGGCAUGUCGCGGCAUGUCCUGUCGGUGGUGAACGGGAUCCCCGGUGCUGUUAAGACCGCCAGGUCGAAGCAUGUACCGUGUGUGUUUCCGUUUGCCGAUCUCUCCUACUCCGGUGCUCUUAAACGAGUGUCGAGGUAGGCCGACACGUUCACUUUGAACAAAUUAGAGUGCUUAAAGCAGGCUGAAAUAUCUGCCUGAAUAGUGGUGCAUGGAAUGAUAAAACAGGACCUCGGUUCUAUUUUGUUGGUUUUAGGAAUAUGAGGUAAUGAUCAAUGUGGACUGGCGGGGGCAUUCGUAUUGCGACGUUAGAGGUGAAAUUCUUGGAUCGUCGCAAGACGCACUAGAGCGAAAGCAUUUGCCAAGUAUGUCUUAAUUGAUCAAGAACGAAAGUUAGAGGUUCGAAGGCGAUCAGAUACCGCCCUAGUUCUAACCAUAAACGAUGCCAGCCAGCGAU
This 469-nucleotide ribosomal RNA is filed under the name Microsandalus umbrosus. RNAcentral's name for it is "SSU rRNA". It matches the Rfam family "Eukaryotic small subunit ribosomal RNA", at positions 718 to 1053 of the family's 1831-position model. The record is from RNAcentral. Lineage: Eukaryota; Metazoa; Arthropoda; Insecta; Hemiptera; Reduviidae.